This 506-nucleotide ribosomal RNA is filed under the name uncultured bacterium. RNAcentral describes it as "bacterial SSU rRNA". It matches the Rfam family "Bacterial small subunit ribosomal RNA", at positions 20 to 518 of the family's 1533-position model. The record is from RNAcentral.
UGGCUCAGGAUGAACGCUAGCUACAGGCUUAACACAUGCAAGUCGAGGGGCAGCAUGAGAUAGCUUGCUAAUCUGAUGGCGACCGGCGCACGGGUGAGUAACGCGUAUCCAACUUCCCCCUACUCAGGCAUAGCCCGGUGAAAACCGGAUUAACUCCUGAUAGUUUCACUAGAUGGCAUCUGACGGUGAAUAAAGCUUUGCGGUAAGGGAUGGGGAUGCGUCUGAUUAGCUUGUUGGCGGGGUAACGGCCCACCAAGGCGACGAUCAGUAGGGGUUCUGAGAGGAAGGUCCCCCACAUUGGAACUGAGACACGGUCCAAACUCCUACGGGAGGCAGCAGUGAGGAAUAUUGGUCAAUGGGCGCGAGCCUGAACCAGCCAAGUAGCGUGCAAGGAAGACGGCCCUAUGGGUUGUAAACUGCUUUUGUGCGGGAAUAAAGUCAGGGACGUGUCCCUGUUUGCAUGUACCGCAAGAAUAAGGACCGGCUAAUUCCGUGCCAGCAGCUGC